UACGGGGGGGGCAAGCGUUGUUCGGAAUUACUGGGCGUAAAGGGCUCGUAGGCGGCCAACUAAGUCAGACGUGAAAUCCCUCAGCUUAACUGGGGAACUGCGUGUGAGACUGGCAGGCUUGAGUGAAGGAGAGGAACGCGGAAUUCCAGGUGUAGCGGUGAAAUGCGUAGAUAUCUGGAGGAACACCGGUGGCGAAGGCGGCGUUCUGGACUGUAUCUGACACUGAGGAACGAAAGCCAGGGGAGCAAACGGG
Molecule: ribosomal RNA, 253 nt
Filed under: uncultured bacterium
Lineage: Bacteria
Description: partial 16S ribosomal RNA
Rfam family: Bacterial small subunit ribosomal RNA
Source: RNAcentral